This 116-nucleotide ribosomal RNA is filed under the name Candidatus Altarchaeota archaeon. The record is from RNAcentral. Lineage: Archaea; Nanobdellati; Candidatus Altarchaeota.
GUUAACGGCCACAGCGGAAGAGAAACACCUGCACUCGUCCCGAACGCAGAAGUUAAGCCUUCCAGCGAAUAAGACUGUACUGCAUAACCUGCGGGAAACCUUAGACGCUGUUAACC